UGUAGUCAUAUGCUUGUCUCAAAGAUUAAGCCAUGCAUGUCUAAGUAUAACGAAAUUAUACCAGUGAAACUGCGAAUGGCUCAUUAAAUCAGUUAUAGUUUAUUUGAUGAUUCCUUACUACUUGGAUAACCGUGGUAAUUCUAGAGCUAAUACAUGCCAAAAGCCCUGACGCAAGAAGGGGUGUGUUUAUUAGAUAAAAAAACCAAUGCCCUUUUGGGCUCCUUGGUGGAUCAUGAUAACCUUACUUAGUGCAUGGCCUUGUGCUGGCACAGCAUCAUUCAAAUACCUGCCCUAUCAAGUUUUGAUGUGAGGGUAGUGUCCUUACAUGCUUUUGACGGGUAACGGGGAAUUAGGGUUCGACUCCGGAGAGGGAGCCUGAGAAACGGCUACCACAUCCAAGGAAGGCAGCAGGCGCGCAAAUUACCCAAUCCCAACACGGGGAGGUAGUGACAAGAAGUACCGAUGCAGGGCCCACCAGGGUCUUGUAUUUGGAUGGCAAACAAUUUAAACCCAUCUGCGUUAUCAACUGGAGGGCAAGUCUGGUGCCAGCAGCCGCGGUAAUUCCAGCUCCAAUAGCGUAU
This 581-nucleotide ribosomal RNA is filed under the name Termitaria sp. IHEY1. Its description in RNAcentral is "bacterial SSU rRNA". It matches the Rfam family "Eukaryotic small subunit ribosomal RNA", at positions 21 to 602 of the family's 1831-position model. Lineage: Eukaryota; Fungi; Ascomycota. The record is from RNAcentral.